UUAUGCUGGGGUUUGAUGAAGAAUGGACAGCUGUGUAGGCCUGCAACUGGAUAAAAAGGACUGGAGUGUGUGCCAGAGGGCGUGCCAAGCUACAAGACAAUCACCUUCGAUUUCCCUGGAGAGUCAAUUUGACCAUAAGGAAUGACCGAAGGAUUGGGGAAGAAAAUACUCCCCCUGCUGAUGCUCCUUUGGUUCUACUUGGGAGUGAAGCUCACAAGAGGAGGGACUGCAAUAAACGUUCCCCAGAUGAUGCAGAGGUCUCUCUCUGCUGACAGUUAAUACCUUGCCUCCAAGCCUGAAUCGCCUUCCUGUCUGCGGGGUGUCUGAACGAACACAGCAAGAUGUGCAGGUCACUGAGUUAGAAGAAGUCGGCAGGGCCUAAGGCCUUCUGCAAGGUGUGACUCUCUCCCUCCAUACUGAGAACAUUUUGAAGUGACUUCAGAGGCUGCAGGGCUUGGGAAGUCCCAUGAGAACCGCUCCCCUUUCCCAAGGCACCGACAUGGCCUGUAGCCAGGCAUUGCUGUUUCUCAGCAGACUGAUCCAGGCCAGGCUUUCUGCUCUCCCUGCUGGAGGACCGCCAUCCUUAUUGAAUGUAUUUCCAAGAAAGCAGUUGACGGGCUUGGCUGUGCUAUUUCUGGAAAUGUUCAAUAGGCCAUCUUCUGGCAGGGACCGCUGCUGAUGGAUGGGUCUGAAGGGGAGACCGAGUGCUCAGCGCCAUCUCGGCCCCGGCCUAUUCCCAGGUGUCUCUGAGCAACAGCCGUCCCCAAAUACCACGGGCCGGCAGCUGGCGGGGGCUGUGGGCCUCUGUGGAACUUGCUUCCUCCCUGGCAGGGAAGCUGCCAGCAGGCCUACUGCUAAAUGAAGACAGGCGCCCUGUGACUAUAAAUUACAAAACACAUCAGCUCCGGCUGAUGCACCGCAUGUCCCGCAGUCAGUUCUGCAGGGGACACUUGGCCACUGCCAAAGGGCAUUCCAGACAGUGGCUUUAACUCUUGUGGCAGCCACAGGAGAGAGGCCAAGCCUGUUGCUGGGCAGAGGAGCUCUUGGCAACUCCCAGAGGUUGCAAUUGCUCUGGACUGCUGAGCUCUGUAUAGACCAGGGCUUCUCACCCUCUGCACCAUUGACAUUUUGGACAACAUACUUCUUUGUUAGGGGCCAUCUGAGCAUUGUAGGUUUAGCAGCAUCUCUGUUAUCUACUCACUAGAUGCCAACAUAAUCCCCUGCCCCCCGCCCACCCACACACAUACACAGAAUUGUGACAACCAAAAACGCCUCCAGACAUUGUCAAAUGUCCCCUGGAAGGCAAAAUCGCCCUUGAUUGAGAACCACUGGUGUAGAGGAAAGAGGGUAGGGUCUGGGGUGAUGGCAGAGAGAGGAAGAUGCCAGUUCAGAAUCUCCAGGUGAGCUGUGAAGCCAGGCAAGUAACAGAAUCCUUUGGCCUCAGUUUCCUCAUCUCUAAAAUGAGAAGAAAGAGAAGGUCAAAUCAAGGGAGUAUGGCGAUCAGCUGAGCUAAUGUGUG
Molecule: long non-coding RNA, 1519 nt
Filed under: Homo sapiens (human)
Lineage: Eukaryota; Metazoa; Chordata; Mammalia; Primates; Hominidae
Description: PREDICTED lncRNA (TCONS_00064622)
Source: RNAcentral